Molecule: ribosomal RNA, 475 nt
Filed under: uncultured organism
Description: partial 16S ribosomal RNA
Rfam family: Bacterial small subunit ribosomal RNA
Source: RNAcentral
ACACUCCUACGGGAGGCAGCAGUGGGGAAUUUUGGACAAUGGGCGAAAGCCUGAUCCAGCAAUGCCGCGUGCAGGAUGAAGGCCUUCGGGUUGUAAACUGCUUUUGUACGGAACGAAAAAGCUCCUUCUAAUACAGGGGGCCCAUGACGGUACCGUAAGAAUAAGCACCGGCUAACUACGUGCCAGCAGCCGCGGUAAUACGUAGGGUGCGAGCGUUAAUCGGAAUUACUGGGCGUAAAGCGUGCGCAGGCGGUUAUGUAAGACAGAUGUGAAAUCCCCGGGCUCAACCUGGGAACUGCAUUUGUGACUGCAUGGCUAGAGUACGGUAGAGGGGGAUGGAAUUCCGCGUGUAGCAGUGAAAUGCGUAGAUAUGCGGAGGAACACCGAUGGCGAAGGCAAUCCCCUGGACCUGUACUGACGCUCAUGCACGAAAGCGUGGGGAGCAAACAGGAUUAGAUACCCCGGUAGUCCCAUG